AUGACGUCCCGGAGAGGAGGGCAGACAUCGUCCUUCCGCUUCCAGAGUUCUAGUGGUAAGCCCCGUAUGAACCACCUCUCCCCCGCCCCCGUUUUCUCAUUGCUCAAGACAGCACUAGCAUGCUGUCUUGAUGAUCCAGACUUAACUAGAACUUGUGGAGGUGGAGCUUCGAGAGCUCCUCCCUUGGCGAUGAAGUUCCUAUCAUCCAUGGAUCCGCCUUCUCAUCCAUGGAUGGCUAUGGUUAUCCUCCCCCUCCUCCUACUCCUCGUGCCUCUCACCGCUGCCGAAACGCCGCCAUCCUGCGGCAAGAGUGGCCACUACAAAUCAAAUAGCACCUACGAAGCCAACCUCAGGCUCCUCUCUUCAACCCUCCCGAAGAAAGCAGCAUCCAGCACCACCCUCUUCGCAACCGGCAUCACCGGCAGUGUUCCGGACAUCCGUUUCGGCCAAAAAAUUUCAACACUUUCGGCCCCCAAAAUCAAUUCCCGUCAGUGCCUUCUUGCGCGGGAAAAAACCGCGCCAAAGGCCCAAACAUGCCCCCCAGAGGCCCGCGAAUGGGUAUAUUCCUCUCCCGUGCCGUCACUUCCAACCCUAAAUCGCCAGAUCCAGGAAAAAAUCCCCUUUUCCGCCGGCGGCGCCGUUGCCGGAGGCUCGAGCUCCUCCUCCGUCAAAGCCAAGCAAGCUCCGCUCUCGCGCAUCCCCUCCCCCUUGCACCUUCCUCCCUGCGUCUCCGCGUCGCUCACCCACCCAGCCCGCCACCCACUCUUCCCCGUCGUACGCGUCAAAUCUGCGUCGCCGCGAGGACGCCACAUCACAAAGCACACCGGCCACCACCACGGCACUGCUCAUCUGCCCGUCGUUAGCUGCGUGACCACCGCCUUUCAGGACCUCCAGCAGCUCUGCGCGUACAAUAAGGAGGCCGUCGUGUACUACGAUCUCUGCAUGCUCAAGUUCUCCGACAAGGAUUUCCUCGCCAGCACCACCCUCGAUGAAACACUCAUCCUCCAGAACACUCAGAACUUUACGACAAACGCCGACAUCACCCAACGAUUAUUGUUCACGCUUAUCAACAGCACGGCUCAAUCGGCCGCGAAUAGCUCGAGGAGGUUCACCACCUCGCGCAUAGAUGUCGCUUCCUCCCCGACGCUGUACUGUGUCAUGCAGUGUACGCCGGAUCUGACCGCCGCAGACUGUACGGCCUGUUUCAAGAUUGUCUCGAGUUGUACACUCCAGUACCUGGCCGGAAGGCCAGGUGGCGGAGUUCUGGGGAUACGGUGCAACAUGAGGUACGAGAUGUACCCAUUCUUCCCGGGGGACCCUAUGCUGCAUAUUAACAACUUGGCCCCUGAAGUUCCGGCGAUCAACAACACUACGACACCAGCUACCGUGUACUCACAGCCACCAGCUCCGGCGCCACCCCCGGAGGGAAAAGCGACCAUCCAAGAACAUAACGGACACAAAUCAGGCAAGAUGAGGCUAUGGAUUAUUAUUGCUGUGGUGGCUACACUGCUGUCAAUACUUAUGUGCUUUAUCUGUUUCAUUGUAUGGAUGAGAAGAAAAGGGAAGGUAAACAUAAAUAAUCAAGCUGCCACGGAUAGGCCGGAAGAAAAUGCACUGGUUUGGAGAUUAGAGGAGAGGAGUUCAGAGUUCACACUCUUUGACUUUCAUGAGAUAUUGCAAGCUACACACAACUUUUCCAAAGAAAAUCUACUUGGGAAAGGUGGUUUUGGCCCUGUCUACAAGGGCCAAUUACCAAAUGGAAUGGAGAUUGCUGUUAAAAGGCUUGCCUCACAUUCAGGACAGGGUUUCACAGAAUUCAAGAAUGAAGUUGAACUUAUUGCAAAACUACAACACAAUAAUCUGGUAAAGCUCUUGGGAUGUUGCAUUCAGGGAGACGGAAAACUAUUGGUGUAUGAGUAUUUUCCCAAUAAGAGCUUGGACUUCUUUAUAUUUGAUGAAAACAGAACAGCUUUGGUUGAUUGGGAAAAAAGACGUGUCAUAAUCGAAGGGAUAGCCCAAGGUCUUCUAUAUCUUCACAAGCACUCUCGAUUGCGCAUCAUACACAGAGAUCUCAAGGCCAGCAACAUUCUCUUGGACCAGAACAUGAAUCCUAAAAUUUCUGAUUUUGGCCUAGCAAAAAUAUUCAGCUCCAAUGACACUCAGGGAAGCACAAAGAGGGUAGUGGGAACAUAUAUGCAUCUGAAGGCAUGUACUCAAUCAAAUCCGACGUGUUCAGCUUUGUCAUGGCAUCUCUGGGAAGGAGGAAGAUGGCUUGAGCUUCUAGAAUUAUCAAUUGUUACGGAGAUCCAUACAACAGAGGCUAGGAGGUAUAUUAACAUUGCACUAAUGUGUGUACAAGAGAGUGCGGAUGAUCGACCCACCAUGUCAGAUGUUGUUGCAAUGUUAAACAGCGAGAGCGAUAUUAUUCCAAAGCCUAAUCCUCCUGCGCACGUCAACGUAAGAGUAUCUAAGGUUGUUCCAUGCAGUAAUAAUGAUGUAACCAUCACCGAAGAGCCAGAUGGAAGAUAG
This 2529-nucleotide ribosomal RNA is filed under the name Triticum aestivum (bread wheat). RNAcentral's name for it is "partial small subunit ribosomal RNA". Lineage: Eukaryota; Viridiplantae; Streptophyta; Magnoliopsida; Poales; Poaceae. The record is from RNAcentral.